UACGUAGGUGGCGAGCGUUGUCCGGAUUUACUGGGCGUAAAGGGAGCGUAGGCGGACUUUUAAGUGAGAUGUGAAAUACUCGGGCUCAGCUUGAGUGCUGCAUUUCAAACUGGAAGUCUAGAGUGCAGGAGAGGAGAGUGGAAUUCCUAGUGUAGCGGUGAGAUGCGUAGAGAUUAGGAAGAACACCAGUGGCGAAGGCGAUUCUCUGGACUGUAACUGACGCUGAGGCUCGAAAGCGUGGGGAGCAAACAGG
Molecule: ribosomal RNA, 253 nt
Filed under: uncultured bacterium
Lineage: Bacteria
Description: partial 16S ribosomal RNA
Rfam family: Bacterial small subunit ribosomal RNA
Source: RNAcentral